This 391-nucleotide ribosomal RNA is filed under the name uncultured bacterium. RNAcentral's name for it is "bacterial SSU rRNA". It matches the Rfam family "Bacterial small subunit ribosomal RNA", at positions 30 to 424 of the family's 1533-position model. The record is from RNAcentral.
AUUGAACGCUGGCGGCAUGCCUUACACAUGCAAGUCGAACGGCAGCGGACCUUCGGGUGCCGGCGAGUGGCGAACGGGUGAGUAAUAUAUCGGAACGUACCUUUCAGUGGGGGAUAACGUAGCGAAAGUUACGCUAAUGCCGCAUAUUCUGUGAGCAGGAAAGCAGGGGAUCGCAAGACCUUGCGCUGAUUGAGCGGCCGAUAUCAGAUUAGCUAGUUGGUGAGGUAAAGGCUCACCAAGGCGACGAUCUGUAGCGGGUCUGAGAGGAUGAUCCGCCACACUGGAACUGAGACACGGUCCAGACUCCUACGGGAGGCAGCAGUGGGGAAUUUUUGGACAAUGGGCGCAAGCCUGAUCCAGCCAUGCCGCGUGAGUGAAGAAGGCCUCGGUU